CGGUAAUUCCAGCUCCAAUAGCGUAUACUAAAGUUGUUGCAGUUAAAAAGCUCGUAGUUGGAUUUCUGCGGGGACGGAGCGGCCGGUCGCAAUUUGCGACUCGAGCUAGCGCUUUCCCCGCAUCCUGCCGCGAACCGUGCUACCAUUAGUUUGGUGGCGCUGGGGAUCGGCUCGAUUACUUUGAGAAAAAUAGAGUGUUCAAAGCAGGCCACACGCCUUGAAUAAGUUAGCAUGGAAUAAUGACUAAGGACUUUGGUUCUUUUCGUUGGUGUUCGGGACUGAAGUAAUGAUUGAUAGGGACAGUUGGGGCGGUCCGUAUUCCAAAGCGAGAGGUGAAAUUCUUAGACCUUCGGAAGACGAACAGCUGCGAAAGCGUUCCGCAAGGAUGUUCCCUUUGAUCAAGAACGAAAGUUGGGGGAUCGAAGACGAUCAGAUACCGUCGUAGUCUCAACUAUAAACUAUACCAGCUAGGGAUCGGCCAACGUUUAAUUAUUCGACUUGGUCGGCACCUUAUGAGAAAUCAAAGCAUCUGGGUUCCGGGGGGAGUAUAGUCGCAAGGCUGAAACUUAAAGGAAUUGACGGAAGGGCACCACCAGCCGUGGAGCCUGUGGCUUAAUUUGACUCAACACGGGAAAACUUACCAGGUCCGGACAUAGUAAGGAUUGACAGAUUGAUAGCUCUUUCUUGAUUCUGUGGGUGGUGGUGCAUGGCCGUUUUUAGUCGGUGGAUGUGAUCUGUCUGCUUAAUUGCGUUAACGGACGAGACCCCAGCCUGCUAAAUAGCGCGGCCGAGCUUUGCUCGGUGCGAGCUUCUUAGAGGGACCAUGAUGCGCGAUAGCACAAGGAAGUUUGGGGCAACAACAGGUCUGUGAUGCCCUUAGAUGUUCUGGGCCGCACACGGGCUACACUGGCGCCUGCAACGAGCAUAUCAGCUGGCCCGAGAGGGUCUUGGCUAAUCUUUGGAACCGGCGCCGUGCUUGGGAUUGACCAUUGCAAUUGUUGGUCAUGCAACGAGGAAUGCCUUGUAAACGCGAGUCAUCAGCUCGCAUUGAAUACGUCCCUGCUCUUUGUACACACCGCCCGUCGCUCCUACCGAUGAAUGUUCCGAUGAAAUUUUCGGAGAGCACCAGAGAACGGGGCUCCGCCUUGCAGAUCUGGAGGCUCAAAGUCACUUAAAUCUGAACAUUUCGAGGAAGGAGAAGUCGUAACAAGGUAGCCG
RNAcentral lists this ribosomal RNA (1218 nucleotides) under uncultured Rhizaria. RNAcentral describes it as "SSU rRNA". It matches the Rfam family "Eukaryotic small subunit ribosomal RNA", at positions 577 to 1805 of the family's 1831-position model. The record is from RNAcentral.